RNAcentral lists this ribosomal RNA (251 nucleotides) under uncultured bacterium. Its description in RNAcentral is "partial 16S ribosomal RNA". It matches the Rfam family "Bacterial small subunit ribosomal RNA", at positions 85 to 339 of the family's 1533-position model. The record is from RNAcentral.
CUGGCGACGAGCGGCGGACGGGUGAGUAACGCGUAGGAAUCUACCUGGUAGUGGGGGAUAGCCCGGGGAAACUCGGAUUAAUACCGCAUACGCCUUAAGGGGGAAAGCAGGGGAUCUUCGGACCUUGUGCUAUCAGAGGAGCCUGCGUUGGAUUAGCUAGUUGGUAGGGUAAAGGCCUACCAAGGCGACGAUCCAUAGCUGGUCUGAGAGGAUGAUCAGCCACACCGGAACUGAGACACGGUCCGGACUCC